RNAcentral lists this long non-coding RNA (1358 nucleotides) under Homo sapiens (human). RNAcentral describes it as "HSALNT0351723". Lineage: Eukaryota; Metazoa; Chordata; Mammalia; Primates; Hominidae. The record is from RNAcentral.
ACAGUCGGUUGCUCCCGGCACCAAGGCCGCAGGCGGCGGUCGGUGCAGGGCGCCCCGCUGGCGUAGUAGUCCAUCCCGCGCAGACAGUAGUGGCGGCCCGAGCAAGCACUUUCGUAACCAUGGAAGGGCAGGCGGCCGGGCAGCGGGUCCACGCACCCGCAUCGGGGCGUGAUCCGCGGCAGCUGCUGGUUCCGCGACAGUGAGUUCAGCAUGUUCACCAUCACUUCGCGCUCUGCUCCCGCGGGUCCCCAGCGCAGGAGACCCAAAGACAGAUGCACAGGGAUGGGAAGAGGCCGAGUCACGGACAGAGUGAGGCGGAGACAAAAGCCAGGACGGAUAGAUUCAGGGUUCCACCCUCUCCAGGACCCUCGGCCUCCUCCCCGUCCUUCAGCCUGAAGUCAGUGGCUGGCAUCAGGAAGCAGAACUGGACAUGAAGUGGGGAAGAGCAAGGACAAACUGGAACUCAUGAGGAGAACAAAGUCGAAUUUGCAUCUGUCUCACUGCCUACAACAAUGAUGAUAUGGAUGGCCUUCAGGACAAGCUGGUGCCCUUUGCCAUGGAAUUGUACAUACACCUGGCCCAGGACCCAGAGAGGUUGAAGGAGAUCCAGUGGGAGCUAGAGGGGUUGUAGCCAAAUGCUGCUCUAUGGCAAUAAGGUGAACUACUAAAUCAGCAACAUUGUGCAUAAGGUGCCACAGUGCUUGGUACCCCACGUCAAUCUUCAGAGGGUAAAAAUGGCUGUUCUUUCAUUUAUUCUUUCCAAAUAUCAUGCAGAUUUCUCUCAUGGCCAAUUAGGAAACAUUUAGGAAAGGGAAUUCUUGCAAGUAUAGUUCCAGCUAGUUGACAGUACAAAACUAUGUCUUAUGCUCUCUUUAGAACAAUGGGAGAAUCUAGGAACACCUAACUCUGUCCUGUUCCAACUUAAAUGAUAGUUUUGUAAUAUUUUAGUUCUUCCUUUAAAUAUUACAGAUUAAAAGCCAUUAUAAUUAUUUUCUAUAGAUAACGUUUGCUUAAAUUUACCUCAUGUUUAUCAGUUCCUUACCAUUCCUUCUUGCAUCUCAGACUUUCCUUCUGUGAUCAUUUUCCUUCUCCCCAGAGUAUAUCCUUUAGAAGUUCCUUUAUUGUAUAUAGACCUGAGGGUAAUAAACAUUUUCAUUGUUUUCCUGUAAAUGUCUUAUCUUUCCUUGGUUUUUGAAAGGAUGACACUUCGAGAAUUUUUUUUCUUUGUCUGUUUUUAAGGUCAUCUCUUAAGCUGGUGAACUGCAGUUUCAUUGUGAGGUGCCUAACUGUGGAAUUUCUUCUAUUUUUUUUCUCUAUUUGUGGAUUCAUUUAUUUUGUUAGUUCUGGAAAAUUCUGAG